GAUGAACGCUGGCGGCGUGCCUAAUACAUGCAAGUCGAGCGAACGGACGAGAAGCUUGCUUCUCUGAUGUUAGCGGCGGACGGGUGAGUAACACGUGGAUAACCUACCUAUAAGACUGGGAUAACUUCGGGAAACCGGAGCUAAUACCGGAUAAUAUUUUGAACCGCAUGGCUCAAAAGUGAAAGACGGUCUUGCUGUCACUUAUAGAUGGAUCCGCGCUGCAUUAGCUAGUUGGUAAGGUAACGGCUUACCAAGGCAACGAUGCGUAGCCGACCUGAGAGGGUGAUCGGCCACACUGGAACUGAGACACGGUCCAGACUCCUACGGGAGGCAGCAGUAGGGAAUCUUCCGCAAAGGGCGAAAGCCUGACGGAGCAACGCCGCGUGAGUGAUGAAGGUCUUCGGAUCGUAAAACUCUGUUAUUAGGGAAGAACAUAUGUGUAAGUAACUGUGCACAUCUUGACGGUACCUAAUCAGAAAGCCACGGCUAACUACGUG
Molecule: ribosomal RNA, 497 nt
Filed under: uncultured bacterium
Lineage: Bacteria
Description: partial 16S ribosomal RNA
Rfam family: Bacterial small subunit ribosomal RNA
Source: RNAcentral